This 63-nucleotide transfer RNA is filed under the name Rattus norvegicus (Norway rat). It matches the Rfam family "tRNA". From Rfam's summary of the family: Transfer RNA (tRNA) molecules are approximately 80 nucleotides in length. Their secondary structure includes four short double-helical elements and three loops (D, anti-codon, and T loops). Lineage: Eukaryota; Metazoa; Chordata; Mammalia; Rodentia; Muridae. RNAcentral also lists the same sequence under 1 other name. The record is from Rfam by way of RNAcentral.
GGGGAUUUAGCUCAGUGGUAGAGCGCUUGCCUAGCAAGUGCAAGGCCCUGGGUUCAAUCCUCA